Coregonus clupeaformis (lake whitefish) is the source of this 374-nucleotide long non-coding RNA. RefSeq lists it as uncharacterized. The record is from RefSeq and is a predicted model, not a curated record. Lineage: Eukaryota; Metazoa; Chordata; Actinopteri; Salmoniformes; Salmonidae. The transcript is spliced from 4 exons.
CUCCCUCUAGUGUGUGUGGUCCGUUACAGGGCCAAGGCUGGGUCAUACAGGCUGUAGAACAGUGGAUAGCCUCCCCUCAGGCCUCUCAACCCCACUCUGCCUGGCUGGCAUGGAUCAUCAACAUUAUACUACACAGUCAAGUCUUCUACUGCAUCCUAACACUCAUAGUACUGGUGGUGAUGUACUUCCUGUGGCAGGUGACUCAGGGUCGUAAACGUCUCAUCAUGUCUCUACGGGAACAGAUUGUCAACGAGGGGAAGAAUAAAGCCUUUCUCCUCGGGAGGUUACAGUGUCUACAGAGACAGAAGGGAACAGGCAGACCUAGACCACAGGUGCACUUUGAGGAGGAGAGAGAGGAGGAGGAGGAGACAGAC